Long non-coding RNA from Oncorhynchus tshawytscha (Chinook salmon), 382 nucleotides. Lineage: Eukaryota; Metazoa; Chordata; Actinopteri; Salmoniformes; Salmonidae. The record is from Ensembl.
AAGUUGAGGCGAGGGACAGGCUAAGUUGAGGCGAGGGACAGGCUAAGUUGAGGCGAGGGACAGGCUAAGUUGAGGCGAGGGACAGGGUAAGUUGAGGCGAGGGACAGGGUAAGUUGAGGCGAGGGACAGGGUAAGUUGAGGCGAGGGACAGGGUAAGUUGAGGCGAGGGACAGGGUAAGUUGAGGCGGGGGACAGGCUAAGUUGAGGCGAGGGACAGGGUAAGUUGAGGCGAGGGUAGGUUGAGGCGAGGGACAGGCUAAGUUGAGGCGAGGUACAGGCUAAGUUGAGGCGAGGGACAGGGUAAGUUGAGGCGAGGGACAGGGUAAGUUGAGGCGAGGGACAGGGUAAGUUGAGGCGAGGGACAGGGUAAGUUGAGGCGGGG